AUUGAACGCUGGCGGCAGGCCUAACACAUGCAAGUCGAGCGGAUGAAGGGAGCUUGCUCCUGGAUUCAGCGGCGGACGGGUGAGUAAUGCCUAGGAAUCUGCCUGGUAGUGGGGGAUAACGUCCGGAAACGGGCGCUAAUACCGCAUACGUCCUGAGGGAGAAAGUGGGGGAUCUUCGGACCUCACGCUAUCAGAUGAGCCUAGGUCGGAUUAGCUAGUUGGUGGGGUAAAGGCCUACCAAGGCGACGAUCCGUAACUGGUCUGAGAGGAUGGUCAGUCACACUGGAACUGAGACACGGUCCAGACUCCUACGGGAGGCAGCAGUGGGGAAUAUUGGACAAUGGGCGAAAGCCUGAUCCAGCCAUGCCGCGUGUGUGAAGAAGGUCUUCGGAUUGUAAAGCACUUUAAGUUGGGAGGAAGGGCAGUAAGUUAAUACCUUGCUGUUUUGACGUUACCAACAGAAUAAGCACCGGCUAACUUCGU
RNAcentral lists this ribosomal RNA (483 nucleotides) under uncultured bacterium. Its description in RNAcentral is "partial 16S ribosomal RNA". It matches the Rfam family "Bacterial small subunit ribosomal RNA", at positions 30 to 506 of the family's 1533-position model. The record is from RNAcentral.